Molecule: transfer RNA, 72 nt
Filed under: Camelus bactrianus (Bactrian camel)
Lineage: Eukaryota; Metazoa; Chordata; Mammalia; Artiodactyla; Camelidae
Also listed under: 1 other name
Rfam family: tRNA
About the family: Transfer RNA (tRNA) molecules are approximately 80 nucleotides in length.
Source: Rfam by way of RNAcentral
GAGGAUAUAGCUCAAGACGCAGGGUGCAUGCUUAGCAUGCAUGAGGUCCUGGGUUCAAUCCUCAGUACCUCU